Molecule: ribosomal RNA, 248 nt
Filed under: uncultured Anaerolineaceae bacterium
Lineage: Bacteria; Bacillati; Chloroflexota; Anaerolineae; Anaerolineales; Anaerolineaceae
Description: partial 16S ribosomal RNA
Rfam family: Bacterial small subunit ribosomal RNA
Source: RNAcentral
CUAGCCCUAAACGAUGUUUACUUGACGUCGGCGGCUUAAUCGCCAUCGGUGUCGUAGCUAACGCGAUAAGUAAACCGCCUGGGGACUACGGCCGCAAGGUUAAAACUCAAAGGAAUUGACGGGUCCCCGCACAAGCAGCGGAGCGUGUGGUUUAAUUCGUUGCUACACGAAGAACCUUACCUGGGUUUGACAUAGCAGUGGUAGGGAAACGAAAGUGGACCGACCCUUCGGGGAGCUGUUACAGGUGU